GCCGCCGGCCUCUUAAAGGAGCCCGCUGCUGCCAUCCGGCGCGCUCCAGGCUCGUACCUGGCCCGCCUGGGCCCCGCGCCUCCCUGCUGGCGGUGUCCUAUGGAGGUCCCACCUCAGGCCUCAGGCUGAUUCCACAGGAACCCCCUAUGACCCGUCUUAUAGACUCCUUUCUACAUCGGAGAGAGCAGCCCCUCAGUUGGGAUCCCUAGCGCUCUGGCAUUGCUCCCCCUAUCAUACCGAUCUUGCCAGCUCUCCUUCCCUUGAUUGUCACCACUCACUCCAAUUUCACCCACUUGGAAUUCACUCGGCUCUAGGCCCCAUCCUCCUCCAGUGUUCCUGGAUGACCCCUCAUUAUCAUUUCAAGAUUCCUCUGGACCUCCAACCCCGGCUCAGAGUCACAAGAUUUCCCUCAGCCCAGUGGUUGUGCAACUUUGGGGGAGGAGGCAAUGGGGCUCUAGGACUAAACAAUGCGCGUCUGCUCAACACCCAGAUCAGUUGAUUAAUCUUAGGCGGCCAAAAUUCACUUUUGCUCUCUUCAGCUGAGAGACCCAAGACUCAUGGAAGAGGGAACAAGACCACCAGGUGCCUAGUCCUUCUAAUCCUGUCGUCCCACAUUACAGCCUGAUUAUCAGGCCCCAGAGGUUUCCUCGCCAGUUAAAGAGAGGUUCACUAGAGCGGUUCUAAAAAGGUUUCACAAAAGAAGCAACACCUGAAGGGAGGUGAAGGACGACCUAGGAAAAGGAAGCAAGUUCUGUGUCACGGAGGCCCAAGGGCAAGGGGCUUAGGCUGUGGGUUGAGGGGACUGUCUGAGACGGACUUAAACCUGCACCAGCUCCAGAGCCCUGCGGAAACAGAGAUCGGUCCCCUCCGGCGUCUAGGUAAGGCCCACCCUCCCAGACCGCAAAGAGCCAGGAUCCGACGGCAGCCUCUCCGGACCAAUCACAACCUUCCUUCAUCAAGGAGGCGGGGUCGGGGGGGGCUGACUUUUCCUUGUCUCCGCCCCUUUAGUCGAAGUAACCAAUCUCAGUGCACCUAGGGGAAGUAAUCGCAAUGGGAGUAACCAAUGACGCCAUGAAGCUUCUCGUGCGUGCUUGACCCUGCCUCUCCAGCUGCGACAAAGAUGGCGCGCGGGCUCUUGGGUUCUGUAGUUUUCUCGCGAUCCAAAAGGCUCCGUGCCCAAGUGAGUCCUUACCGCCUCCCUACCCAGCGGCUUCCCCUCCGCUAGUACGCAUGUCCACAGCCUCACGGACCGGGAGAGAGGGGGCGCAGAAGGAAGGAGGCGGGACGGUAUUACAAACAAAAAAAUACGGCCUUCUCGAGAAGCGACGGCGGAGGGCCCGCUCCUCCCAGAAGGCGGUGCAGCCUGCCCGGGCGAGCCACGCACGCAGAGGGUUGUGGGGCGGAUAGCUCCUCUCCAGAUGGAGGCUCAUGAAGUAGGGUGGGCGGGGGACUCCAUAUCCCAGCGUGCCCCGCGGC
RNAcentral lists this long non-coding RNA (1476 nucleotides) under Pan troglodytes (chimpanzee). RNAcentral's name for it is "long non-coding RNA NONPTRT003883". Lineage: Eukaryota; Metazoa; Chordata; Mammalia; Primates; Hominidae. The record is from RNAcentral.